This 774-nucleotide ribosomal RNA is filed under the name uncultured Neocallimastigales. RNAcentral's name for it is "partial large subunit ribosomal RNA". It matches the Rfam family "Eukaryotic large subunit ribosomal RNA", at positions 23 to 646 of the family's 3401-position model. The record is from RNAcentral. Lineage: Eukaryota; Fungi; Neocallimastigomycota; Neocallimastigomycetes; Neocallimastigales.
AAGAGAGAGACAUGCGCGCAUAUCAAUAAGCGGAGGAAAAGAAACUAACUAGGAUUCCCUCAGUAACGGCGAGUGAAGCGGGAAGAGCUCAAAUUUGAAAUCUUCAAGGUUCUACCUUGACGAAUUGUAGUUUAAAGAAGUGUUUUCUGUUGGAGUUUUGGUAAAAGUUCUUUGGAAUAGGACAUCAUAGAGGGUGAGAAUCCCGUAUUUGACCAUUAUUUCCAGCUUUGUGAUACACUUUCAAAGAGUCGGAUUGUUUGGGAAUGCAGUCCAAAAUGGGUGGUAAAUUUCAUCUAAAGCUAAAUAUUGGCGAGAGACCGAUAGCGAACAAGUACCGUGAGGGAAAGAUGAAAAGAACUUUGAAAAGAGAGUUAAACAGUACGUGAAAUUGUCAAAAGGGAAGCGUUUGACACCAGUGUUGUUUUUCUGAAAAUCAAUUAAAGAACUGUUUAUGCUAAGUUGUUUAGACUUUAUCAGCUAACUGUUUAGUUUUGAGCUUUUCUUUAAUGCACUUUUCAGUUAACAAGUCAACAUCAAUUUCUUUUGCUGUAAAAAAGCUUGAGGAAGGUGGCUUGAGAUUCGUCUUAAGUGUUUAUAGCCUCUUGCCUAUGCAGUCGGAGAGAUUGAGGUCUGCAGCGUAGAUCCUUCGGGGCUAAAUGCAUUUGUGCUAAGUUAUAGCAUUUAUAGACAACUUGUUGACUAUGAUUAGUCAUGUAGCUUACUCGCUUAUGUUAUUUUACCUACGCUUAGGAUGUUGAUGUGAUACUGCGAGCA